AUUGAACGCUGGCGGCAGGCCUAACACAUGCAAGUCGAGCGGAUGAAGGGAGCUUGCUCCUGGAUUCAGCUGCGGACGGGUGAGUAAUGCCUAGGAAUCUGCCUGGUAGUUGGGGAUAACGUCCGGAAACGGGCGCUAAUACCGCAUACGUCCUGAGUGAGAAAGGGGGGGAUCUUCGGACCUCACGCUAUCAGAUGAGCCUAGGUCGGAUUAGCUAGUUGGUGGGGUAAAGGCCUACCAAGGCGACGAUCCGUAACUGGUCUGAGAGGAUGAUCAGUCACACUGGAACUGAGACACGGUCCAGACUCCUACGGGAGGCAGCAGUGGGGAAUAUUGGACAAUGGGCGAAAGCCUGAUCCAGCCAUGCCGCGUGUGUGAAGAAGGUCUUCGGAUUGUAAAGCACUUUAAGUUGGGAGGAAGGGCAGUAAGUUAAUACCUUGCUGUUUUGACGUUACCAACAGAAUAAGCACCGGCUAACUUCGUG
RNAcentral lists this ribosomal RNA (484 nucleotides) under uncultured bacterium. RNAcentral's name for it is "partial 16S ribosomal RNA". It matches the Rfam family "Bacterial small subunit ribosomal RNA", at positions 30 to 507 of the family's 1533-position model. The record is from RNAcentral.